GACGAAGAAAUUCUGCAGCCGUCGCUGG
This 28-nucleotide small RNA is filed under the name Bombyx mori (domestic silkworm). RNAcentral describes it as "ovarian small RNA-15530". Lineage: Eukaryota; Metazoa; Arthropoda; Insecta; Lepidoptera; Bombycidae. The record is from RNAcentral.